RNAcentral lists this transfer RNA (75 nucleotides) under Candidatus Uhrbacteria bacterium RIFCSPHIGHO2_01_FULL_47_11. RNAcentral's name for it is "tRNA-Glu". It matches the Rfam family "tRNA". Rfam says of the family: Transfer RNA (tRNA) molecules are approximately 80 nucleotides in length. Their secondary structure includes four short double-helical elements and three loops (D, anti-codon, and T loops). Lineage: Bacteria; Candidatus Uhriibacteriota. The record is from RNAcentral. RNAcentral also lists the same sequence under 5 other names.
GGCCCUAUCGUCUAGUCCGGUCUAGGACAUCUGCUUCUCAGGCAGAAGACCGGGGUUCAAAUCCCCGUGGGGCUA